UUGGAGGGCAAGUCUGGUGCCGGCAGCCGCGGUAAUUCCAGCUCCAAUAGCGUAUAUUAAAGUUGUUGCAGUUAAAAAGCUCGUAGUUGAAUUUCGGGGUCAGUAGGUUGGUCAUGCCACUGGUAUGUACUGGUCUCACUGAUUCCUCCUUCCUGAUGAACUGUAAUGCCAUUAAUUUGGUGUUGCAGGGAAUCUGGACUGUUACUUUGAAAAAAUUAGAGUGUUUAAAGCAGGCUAACGCCUGAAUACAUUAGCAUGGAAUAAUGAAAUAGGACGUUUGAUUCUAUUUUGUUGGUUUCUAGGAUCGACGUAAUGAUUAAUAGGGAUAGUUGGGGGCAUUAGUAUUCAAUUGUCAGAGGUGAAAUUCUUGGAUUUAUUGAAGACUAACUACUGCGAAAGCAUUUGCCAAGGUUGUUUUCAUUAAUCAAGAACGAAAGUUAGGGGAUCGAAGACGAUCAGAUACCGUCGUAGUCUUAACCAUAAACUAUGCCGACUAGGGAUCGGAUGAUGUUAACUUUUUAAUGACUCAUUCGGCGCCUUACGGGAAACCAAAGUGUUUGGGUUC
This 565-nucleotide ribosomal RNA is filed under the name uncultured Glomeromycotina. RNAcentral's name for it is "SSU rRNA". It matches the Rfam family "Eukaryotic small subunit ribosomal RNA", at positions 548 to 1114 of the family's 1831-position model. Lineage: Eukaryota; Fungi; Glomeromycota. The record is from RNAcentral.